Molecule: ribosomal RNA, 495 nt
Filed under: Triticum aestivum (bread wheat)
Lineage: Eukaryota; Viridiplantae; Streptophyta; Magnoliopsida; Poales; Poaceae
Description: partial small subunit ribosomal RNA
Source: RNAcentral
AUGGAGUUUGUUGACAUCCCAACCAAGCAUUUUCUGGAGCAGUUUGUGGCGCUGUUCGGACUUGCUCCACCAGUUGUCUGUUGGAGGCCUGCUCCUGAGGGAUUGUACAUUGUGGGGGUUCAGGUUAACCUUGGUCCUGCGGACAGGGUUCCUCACGUGUACUAUGAAGCUGCAGGAGCCACUAUCCCUGAGGCGGAGCAGGCAGCCUGCCUGAUGGUGAUCCACGCCGUAGCUGCCGAACGUAAUGUGGAAAUUAGGGAUAUUAACUACUACCACCUAGGGUACCUGCAGCAUCAGGUGGAGGAUCUGCGCAAGAAGCUGAUGGAGGCCGAGCAUCUUUGUGCUGAACUGAUGAACAUUGUCCGCUCCAGCGAGAGUGAGGUCGCUUUUCUGGAGCGCCUCACUCACAGGUUCUAUCGUCGCAUUCGCUGCCUGAGGGACACUGUGGCUGCACUGCAGCAUGGUGGUGGCGGAAGUUCCAGCGGCAGUGUGUGA